Molecule: long non-coding RNA, 400 nt
Organism: Piliocolobus tephrosceles (Ugandan red Colobus)
Lineage: Eukaryota; Metazoa; Chordata; Mammalia; Primates; Cercopithecidae
Exons: 3
Source: RefSeq, a predicted model, not a curated record
UUAGCGCGUGCAUCCUCUGCGUGGGACGUGCACAGAAUGGCGCCAACCCGCUAGUAUGUAAGGACCCGGCCUGGGCGCUUCCAGGGAAACGCGAAGGGGGCUUCGGAUGCGCUGGAGCUUGAGAGGUUUCUGUAUACAGAGCCUUCAGGACUGCUUUUGGUGGAAAGAGAGCACGUGGUGCUAAUUCACUGUGUUGGUGGGAACACUGGCUACACUGAAAGGUUUGAGAAAGUUAUCCUGUAAACCAACUAGAAUCAGGUGCUUUUGUUUCUGAAGUGCUUUGAUUCUUACUUUGACCCCCAGGCUGGAGUACAGUGGCAUGAUCUUGGUUCACCACAAUCUCAUCUUGAGGGCUCAGGUGAUUCUACCACCUCAGCCUCCUGAGUAGCUGGGACCACAG